This 194-nucleotide ribosomal RNA is filed under the name uncultured bacterium. RNAcentral's name for it is "partial 16S ribosomal RNA". It matches the Rfam family "Bacterial small subunit ribosomal RNA", at positions 1311 to 1500 of the family's 1533-position model. The record is from RNAcentral.
CUCGACUGCACGAAGCUGGAAUCGCUAGUAAUCGCGGAUCAGCACGCCGCGGUGAAUACGUUCCCGGGCCUUGUACACACCGCCCGUCACACCAUGGAAGUCUGCAAUGCCCGAAGCCGGUGGCCUAACCACUUAUGUGGAAGGAGCCGUCUAAGGCAGGGCAGAUGACUGGGGUGAAGUCGUAACAAGGUAAC